CCAGAAACCACAGGAGGAAAAAACAGGGAAGCUUGGGGAUCAGAUUGUGCCCUAGAUGACCCAGGCAAAUUAAAAGGUGAUUGCAUAGUGCAAUUUAAAUAAUGGAAAAAAGUAUUUAAAUAGUAUUUAAAUAGAUAGCAUUGGGUUAGGCAAUUUAAGGUUGGGGAAGGAUCCCCGUAGAGUAAAGGAAUAGUGUAAAAACCUUUAA
Molecule: non-coding RNA, 208 nt
Organism: Pelobates cultripes (western spadefoot toad)
Lineage: Eukaryota; Metazoa; Chordata; Amphibia; Anura; Pelobatidae
Source: the annotation of a GenBank genome assembly